Pantherophis guttatus is the source of this 1395-nucleotide non-coding RNA. The record is from RefSeq and is a predicted model, not a curated record. Lineage: Eukaryota; Metazoa; Chordata; Lepidosauria; Squamata; Colubridae.
GGGUGGGUCAAUGGGUCAAUCAAAUUUCCACUCUGCUCUUCUUCGCUCCCUGCCAGGCCAUUAGCUUGCCAAGCUUCCUAGAACAGCAAGCCCAGCUGGAGCUCCUGGCUAGGAGAGUCACCUUGCUGGAAGCUAUCAUCUGGCCAGAACCAGAUCUGGGAUCCGGCUUUGAUCCGGCCGCUACGGGGGUCCCCGGCGACGAUCGGAGUAAGCGCAGCGAGUAUUUGGCAGCCUACCGGGUGAACUCGCACCGUCUUUCUCAGAAGGGAGAGGAGAGGAAGAAAUGAAGGAGACUCUGCCCACCAUCAGGCGAAGAAGAGGGCCACGUCUGGAUUGAGGGACCUCCGAUGUGGAAGGAGCACCGCGGUCCUUUCUCCUCCUCCCUCUGCCUUGGACCGGUGGUGAUGGAGACACGGGCUGUUCGAUGAACCAAGCUGUGGACAAGGCCCUGCUAACAAAUCCUCCGUUGUAUUUAUUUGUUCUUUUCACACAGGGGGUUUGUGGAACAAAUAGGAAUAGGUGUUAUGGGGGUCUAUGCUUAUGCGGGGGGGGAGAGUGGGGGUCUCGGCUUGGCUGUCACUCGCCAGAGAUUCCCUCCUUGUGGUCAGAUUGGGCCGCAAUUUGGCAAGGACUGGUCCAACACAUCCAGCCUUUUGCCACCUUCUCCUCCGUGGUGGCAUCUCUCCGGCACGUCCUCAGAGGCUCCAGAUGCCGAGAGGUUGUUUUUUUUUUCUCGCUGCUCAUGCUUUGAAUUUCAAUUUUAUCCUUUUUUUUUUUCAAAUUUUCUCUUUUUCAAUCCAGAAAAUAAAACAAAACCCCCGUCAUUCUGUAUUCCGUAAAGCUGUAUUUCUCAAUCCUGGGAACUUUUAAUUGGGGGGGAGGAUUCUGGGAGUCGAAGUCUUAAAAAAGUUCCCAAGGUUGAGAAACACCCCAAAUGGAUGGAGAUGCAGUGGGAAUUCAAUCCAUCUGAUCACAGACACACACAGAGCAGCUGAGCAAAAUCGGAGCCUCCCCGUCUCUACUCCCUUAGGAGCAGGGAUUUCAAAAGUGCUUUUCCGGAGUCAGAUGAGAAAGCAUCUUCUGGCACUUACUGGAUAAACCGACUGAUUGUUGCCCAAAUUCUGAGGCGUGUCGUGGAAGGAAACCAGAAUCUGUAAAAAAAAAGCUUACAUGGGAUUAAGACGGGAGUCUUUAUUGAUGAUCCCAACUUUUUUGAAAUUUGUAUACAGUAUUUCUUCCUUUAUUGUGUUUUUUUGGACAAGAUUUGGGGAGGGACGGUGGCGAAGGUGAGGAUUGCUGGCUUCUCCUUUCCAGCAUCAGUCAACAAUUUUGAGGGGCGGGGUGAAGAAAAAUAUAUAUAUUUUCUUCUGUUUAAAGAACAGCCUUUGUACCCUC